UACGUAGGGGGCAAGCGUUGUCCGGAAUCAUUGGGCGUAAAGAGCGCGUAGGCGGUCCGGUAAGUCGGUUGUGAAAACUGGGGGCUCAACCCUCAGAGGCCGACCGAUACUGUCGGGCUAGAGUCCGGAAGAGGCGAGUGGAAUUCCUGGUGUAGCGGUGAAAUGCGCAGAUAUCAGGAGGAACACCAAUGGCGAAGGCAGCUCGCUGGGACGGUACUGACGCUGAGGCGCGAAAGCUAGGGGGAGCAAACGGG
This 254-nucleotide ribosomal RNA is filed under the name uncultured bacterium. RNAcentral's name for it is "partial 16S ribosomal RNA". It matches the Rfam family "Bacterial small subunit ribosomal RNA", at positions 524 to 776 of the family's 1533-position model. The record is from RNAcentral.